Molecule: non-coding RNA, 2872 nt
Organism: Cordylochernes scorpioides
Lineage: Eukaryota; Metazoa; Arthropoda; Arachnida; Pseudoscorpiones; Chernetidae
Source: the annotation of a GenBank genome assembly
CGAACCUUUUCUUUAUGUCGUACCAAAUUCUUUUGGCUCUUUUAUCGUCUCGAAAGAUGAUUGUUAAGUCAUCCGAAAGUGACAAUAUUAUUAGGCUGUAUGCUUCCCGAUUCUUUUUCUUCCAAAUAUCAUAUUCUAGUUUAUUUUUUGUAAAGUCUGGCUCGUCAUUAACAAUUACGUCCUCGAAGAGAUCUUUUGAAUCUAGAAUUGCUUCCAUUUUCAUGGACCACGUUGUAUAGUUGUUUUCUGUUAACUGUUCGAUUUUUGCUAAGUUAUAUGUAUCCAUUUUUCAUUCAAUAUUUAUUUUCUAAAUUGGCGGUUAGUCCAAUUAUUUAUUUUCUUUAUGAUUUAAAUGGAUCAAUUGGCGGUUAGUCCAAUUCGCGCGCCCAAACAACGCACUGCUACCAAAUUGAUAUAGGCUUAGCAAAAUAUGGUUAUUCUUUUUGAGGAUUUCUGGUUGUUUUGUUUGUACUCACGUAUGUUGUAGUUACGAGGACAUCCCUUCUGAUAAAAACAAAUAUAUAUUUAUUUAAGGAACGACUUGUUCCAUUACAUAUAUUGUUAAGACAAGUUAGCGGUAAACAAUAACAGUAAGGUUGAAGGGUAGAAUUUGGAAGUUACGUCAUCGUAGUGACGUCAGCAUCUAUGAUGAUUAAAGUCAAAGUUUGCGUAACAAAUAUUUCAGUAAAUAUUUCUUAUAAAAUGAAAAGAGAAUAAUAAAGUUAUUUUUCACACAUCAUGAGACGUAUAAAACGUAUAAGAAAAGAUAUAUAGGUGCAUAUAUAAAUAUAUAUAUAUGUGGUGAUAUUGUUACACUCUCCAGGUUUUGGCUAGUCGGUUUAAUCAACAUUUGUUUUAUUUUUGUCAAAUUAAUUUCCAAGGGGAGUUUUCAGAAUCAAAAUUAGAUUACAUUUGAAUAAAAGCUGUACAUAUAAAAAAGUGAUUUUUGGUUUAAAUAAAAUUAAAAUUCAGACCCAUUAAUAAUAAACCUAUAAUUAGUGAAAUACAGCAUGUUGAAUUAGAAAAUGGCAUGCAGUUAUAUUUUAAAACUAAAGGAAUAGAGGCAUCAAAACCAAAACAAAAGUCUAAGAGAAAAAAUAGCAAAAACUUGAGAUUGUAUUGGGAUCGAGUGGAUAAAUUAAGAAUAAAGCAUCUCCUGAUGGUGUAUAUGAACGAAAAUAACUUAUUUCGAAUAUAAACACUGUCAUAACACUCAUUCUCCAUCCACUUGUAGAUAAGAUUUAUAUUUCUCUGCUCAUAUAAGUGCUUAUACAGUACUUAGAUUGUGGUUGAGAACAUGAAAAUCUAUCCACCGCGAGGUCCGACUUUUGAUUGCGUCCUCUCAGAGAUUUUCUGAAAGAACCAAAGACAUGGAAGUCGCUUAGAUGAAGAACCUAACUGCAUGUAAAAUGUUUGUAUGGUUCAGUUUCAUACUUGGAUGUAUAAUUGGGUACUAUCAUCAGAAGACACCUUUCGUGACAACUCAGGUCUCCCAUUUCUUUUUUUAUUCCAUAAAGAAAAGUCCGACCAUUCCUCUCUGCGGUCCCUCCUGGACCCUUGGAAAAUUUGACCAAAUUCUGGCUCGUUUCCAAGGUGACUAACGGAACCUAUUUUCCAAUGAAGAGAAAUGCUGUGAUAGAGAUACACGGGGACAUCUGAGGUUCUUCAUUAGACACGACAACAACAUUGAGUUUGAAGGUAUAUAUUGACAUUAAUUUUGUCAAUACACUUUUUAAACAGAUAAAGUUUACCAUAUAUGUAUAUAUGUCAAAAUAUUUAAAUAAGGAUAUCUUGUAUGAGGAGAAGAGAAAAAGAAAAUGGGUUGAUUAGAAUAACCCCCUGGGUGAACAUAUGUCCAUUUUUAUAAAAACAAACAUUUUAGGGAGCUUCUCGUGUCACCUUACUUCCCUUGGGACUAAUUUAUCCUUCUGAGAAGAGUUUAUAAACAUCUGGAUUUUUUAUUAUCGAUAAAAGGUUCUCAUGGAGGUUGACUCUACGCUGGUGGUUCCCAGGGUGGUCUUCGGUGUCUGUUCCUUCUUCGGCCUAUUCCUGAAUACUGUGUGCGUCCUUGCCAGACAACUACCACGACUGCUUUAUAAAUCACCACAUAUGUAUAUAUAUAUAUAUAUAUAUAUAUAUAUAUACAGGGUGAUCCAAAAGUCCCGCACUAUUUUAAAAAUUAAUAACUCCGCGAAUAUUUGCGCUAGAGCAAUGCGGUAAACACCAUUGUGUUCAGGAUGCAAUGGGAUUUUUUAUGGCAAAUAAUGAAAAUUUCGAAAUUGAUUUUAGUUACAAUUUUAUUCGCCAGAUGGCGCACUACCAGAAUCAGAGAUUCAGCGGCCAAAUUGUUUGAUAAAUUGAAAAAUAUAACUGAUCGACACGUAUUUUUCCUUUUUGAAUACCAGGAAAGAACCCUAAUAAUAUCAAAUAACAAAUUAAUAAAACACCAUUUCGCCAAAAAUAUGAAGAAUUGGUUAACGAUUUUUAAAUACAAUCAGAGAUAUGUAAAAUAGGUAAAUGCAAAUUAAAACAUGUAGCAAAAAAAAUUUGAUAUUUUAGAUACGGUUUGUUUCCGAAGAUAAUAAAUUUCUAAUAUUUUUAAUUCAACUCUCUCUCAUACUGUACCCAAUUUUAAAAAAUGUGUCCCCUCAAAUAAAAAUAUUUUUCAAAUCAACCUUUUGCGUUGAAAAACGUGGUAGUAAAAUCAUUUUGUAUUAUUUUUUUUGCACAAAAUUUCUAAAGUUAUUGGUGUACAGAAAAUAUUCCUUAUGCUAUUACUUCUAAUGAGCGAAAAGCGAAAAACCAAACAUAAGGGGAAAAAUUGUGUGUACCAGUGUUAUUCGAGAAGUUAUAACACUCUGAUUUGCACGAC